Molecule: small RNA, 79 nt
Filed under: Flavobacterium sp. 9AF
Lineage: Bacteria; Pseudomonadati; Bacteroidota; Flavobacteriia; Flavobacteriales; Flavobacteriaceae
Description: Flavo-1 RNA
Rfam family: Flavo-1 RNA
Source: Rfam by way of RNAcentral
UUUUAGCCCUGAUGGAAGCGGCAUCCUGUCAUUGCGCGGAACGAAGCAAUGACAGAUAUAGCGUACAGCAGGAAAUAGC